Molecule: ribosomal RNA, 837 nt
Filed under: Aquapteridospora hyalina
Lineage: Eukaryota; Fungi; Ascomycota; Sordariomycetes
Description: Pezizomycotina sp. JM-2022a partial large subunit ribosomal RNA
Rfam family: Eukaryotic large subunit ribosomal RNA
Source: RNAcentral
GCCUCAGUAACGGCGAGUGAAGCGGCAACAGCUCAGAUUUGAAAUCUGGCCCUCUCGCGGGGCCCGAGUUGUAAUCUGCAGGGGAUGCUUCUGGCGAGGUGCUCACCAAGUCCACUGGAACGUGGCGCCACAGAGGGUGAGAGCCCCGUGUGGUGGGACCCCGAGCCUCUGUGAAGCUCCUCCGACGAGUCGAGUAGUUUGGGAAUGCUGCUCUAAAUGGGAGGUAAAUUUCUUCUAAAGCUAAAUACCGGCCAGAGACCGAUAGCGCACAAGUAGAGUGAUCGAAAGAUGAAAAGCACUUUGAAAAGAGGGUUAAACAGCACGUGAAAUUGUUGAAAGGGAAGCGCUUGUGACCAGACUCGUGCCCGGCGGAUCAUCCAGCCUUCUGGCUGGUGCACUGCGCCGGGCCCGGGCCAGCAUCGGCUCUCCCUGGGGGAUAAAGGCCCUGGGAACGUAGCUCUCUCCGGGGAGUGUUAUAGCCCAUCGCACAAUGCCUCGGGGGGGCCGAGGACCGCGCUUCGGCAAGGAUGCUGGCGUAAUGGUCAUCAGCGACCCGUCUUGAAACACGGACCAAGGAGUCAACUAUUGGGGCGAGUCUAUGGGUGCAAAACCCGCUGGCGCAAUGAAAGUGAACGCAGGUGAGAGCUUCGGCGCAUCAUCGACCGAUCCUGAUGUUCUCGGACGGAUUUGAGUAAGAGCCCUAAUAUUUGGACCCGAAAGAUGGUGAACUAUGCCUGGAUAGGGUGAAGCCAGAGGAAACUCUGGUGGAGGCUCGCAGCGGUUCUGACGUGCAAAUCGAUCGUCAAAUUUGGGCAUAGGGGCGAAAGACUAAUCGAA